CAAAAACUAUUUAAAAUGAAUUAAAAACAACCAGAAAAGAGAAAAUUCACAAAAAAAUAUCAAAUGACAAAAUAAAAAUUAUUAAAAAUCAGAAAUGGAAACUAGAAUUUAUUUGGAGACUAAUGCAAUUGGUCCCAUAAUUUUUGGAUUAAAAAUGAGAGAGAUAUUGAUUUUUGAAAAUAAUUGGAAUUAAAAGAAAUAAAGAAAAUAGAAAU
This 215-nucleotide long non-coding RNA is filed under the name Lathyrus oleraceus (garden pea). RNAcentral describes it as "Pisum sativum (pea) long non-coding RNA (PSAT_LNC029769)". Lineage: Eukaryota; Viridiplantae; Streptophyta; Magnoliopsida; Fabales; Fabaceae. The record is from RNAcentral.